AUUUCAUGAUGCUCUCCAUCGUUCGUGAGUAAUUCCAUCAUAGGCUUGCAGGACGGUGAUGGGUUUGAUGAGAUCUAUCAUGUAAUCGAGUUAGUUUUGUUAGGGUUUGAUCCCUAGUAUCCAUUAUGUUCUGAUAUUGAUGUUGCUAUGACUUUGGUAUGCUUAAUGCUUGUCACUAGGGCCUGAGUGCCAUGAUUUCAGAUCUAAACCUAUUAUGUUUUCA
This 223-nucleotide long non-coding RNA is filed under the name Hordeum vulgare. RNAcentral describes it as "long non-coding RNA (HVUL_LNC016770)". Lineage: Eukaryota; Viridiplantae; Streptophyta; Magnoliopsida; Poales; Poaceae. The record is from RNAcentral.